Molecule: small nucleolar RNA, 74 nt
Organism: Cynocephalus volans (Philippine flying lemur)
Lineage: Eukaryota; Metazoa; Chordata; Mammalia; Dermoptera; Cynocephalidae
Product: small nucleolar RNA SNORD115
Exons: 1
Source: RefSeq, a predicted model, not a curated record
AGAUCAAACAUAAUUUUGUCUUGAGUAGAUGUGAUGGCCUAUAUAUCAUGUUCAAUAGGAUUAAGCUGAGAACU